RNAcentral lists this ribosomal RNA (253 nucleotides) under uncultured bacterium. RNAcentral describes it as "partial 16S ribosomal RNA". It matches the Rfam family "Bacterial small subunit ribosomal RNA", at positions 524 to 776 of the family's 1533-position model. The record is from RNAcentral.
UACGUAGGGUGCAAGCGUUGUCCGGAAUUAUUGGGCGUAAAGAGCUCGUAGGCGGUUUGUCACGUCGGCCGUGAAAACUCAGGGCUUAACCCUGAGCCUGCUUCCGAUACGGGCAGACUAGAGGUAUGCAGGGGAGAACGGAAUUCCUGGUGUAGCGGUGGAAUGCGCAGAUAUCAGGAGGAACACCGGUGGCGAAGGCGGUUCUCUGGGCAUUACCUGACGCUGAGGAGCGAAAGUGUGGGGAGCGAACAGG